Molecule: ribosomal RNA, 496 nt
Filed under: uncultured bacterium
Lineage: Bacteria
Description: partial 16S ribosomal RNA
Rfam family: Bacterial small subunit ribosomal RNA
Source: RNAcentral
GAUGAACGCUGGCGGCGUGCCUAAUACAUGCAAGUCGAGCGAACAGAUGAGGAGCUUGCUCCUCUGACGUAGCGGCGGACGGGUGAGUAACACGUGGAUAACCUACCUAUAAGACUGGGAUAACUUCGGGAAACCGGAGCUAAUACCGGAUAAUAUAUUGAACCGCAUGGUUCAAUAGUGAAAGACGGUUUUGCUGCCACUUAUAGAUGGAUCCGCGCCGCAUUAGCUAGUUGGUAAGGUAACGGCUUACCAAGGCAACGAUGCGUAGCCGACCUGAGAGGGUGAUCGGCCACACUGGAACUGAGACACGGUCCAGACUCCUACGGGAGGCAGCAGUAGGGAAUCUUCCGCAAUGGGCGAAAGCCUGACGGAGCAACGCCGCGUGAGUGAUGAAGGUCUUCGGAUCGUAAAACUCUGUUAUUAGGGAAGAACAAAUGUGUAAGUAACUAUGCACGUCUUGACGGUACCUAAUCAGAAAGCCACGGCUAACUACGUG